This 87-nucleotide transfer RNA is filed under the name Candidatus Doudnabacteria bacterium RIFCSPHIGHO2_02_FULL_43_13b. RNAcentral's name for it is "tRNA-Tyr". It matches the Rfam family "tRNA". Rfam says of the family: Transfer RNA (tRNA) molecules are approximately 80 nucleotides in length. Their secondary structure includes four short double-helical elements and three loops (D, anti-codon, and T loops). The record is from RNAcentral. RNAcentral also lists the same sequence under 1 other name. Lineage: Bacteria; Candidatus Doudnaibacteriota.
GGGCAGGUGGUAGAGCGGUCAAUUACUCCAGACUGUAAAUCUGGCGCCUUUAUGGCUACAUAGGUUCGAAUCCUAUCCUGCCCACCA